GAGGAGUUGGUGGAGGAUCACAUGAAUUCUAUAGAAGCUGUUUUACUGAAGAAGUUUACCAAGUCAUGCAGACCGUUUAUUUUUCAACCGGUGCAGAUCAAAGGUCAGUUUCAAGCAGUGAGUUAAGUAAGUCGUUGGGGAUGAUUUUUGGUGUACAUUUCAUCGGAUCAAGAUCGAGGACCUUGAGCCGUUAUGGUUGUGACUCGAAAAGACAAAAUGGUCGUGAUUGUCAAAGUUUGGGAAAUCUGGAACGUUUGCAUCAUUCGCGCUUUGGUGGUUCUUGUGAAGAGUUAGGAUUUUAGGUGACCCUUCCUCAUGAAGUUACCCGAUCUACGUUACCUAUACCUAAGAUAACACAUGUUGAACUUGUCCACUUUUCCUUACCGUUAGUCCACAUCCAAGUGUUAGGCUAUUUGGGUAGAGCCUACACUUUAUAGUUGACUGGACCGUCAAAACCCCUGAAAGGUCCAAUCACAGGUUUGCUUCUUAUCCCAUUGCGUGUUGUGUGCAUUUUAAAAAUUUAUGAAUGAUUAAAUAAAUAAGUGAAGGAGUGAUCAAGGUGUCGUAUGAGACCUUGCCUAUGGAUGGAAUUUUCCGCCCAUAUUGUGUUUGAUGCGGGAACAACACAUAGAUG
Molecule: long non-coding RNA, 634 nt
Filed under: Brassica napus (rape)
Lineage: Eukaryota; Viridiplantae; Streptophyta; Magnoliopsida; Brassicales; Brassicaceae
Description: long non-coding RNA (BNAP_LNC024750)
Source: RNAcentral